GACGAACGCUGGCGGCGUGCUUAAUACAUGCAAGUCGAGCGGUAAGGCGCGAGCUUGCCGGCGUUCACGAUUGGCGAACGGGGGAGAAACACGCGUGUGACCCGCCCUGCACAUCGGGAGAAGCCUGGGGAACUGCGGAUAAUACCGCGGAGGAUCUAGUGAUGGAUACGGUGGUAGAAAGAAUGUCGGGUGUGGGCUGGGCUCGCGGCCUAUCCGCGUGGUGGUGGGGUAAUGGCCUAGCAAGGCGGCGACGGGUCGCCGGCCUGGGAGGGUGGACGGCCACAUUGGGACUGAGACACGGCCCAGUCUCCUACGGGACGCAGCAGUCGGGAAUAUUGCACAAUGGGCGCAAGCCUGAUGCAGCGACGCCGCGUUCGUGAUGCCGUCCUUCUGGUUGUAAACUCCUUUCUCCAUCGACGAAGGGUUUCCGACGGUAGCUGGUGAAGAAGCCCCGGCUAACUACGUG
This 466-nucleotide ribosomal RNA is filed under the name uncultured bacterium. RNAcentral's name for it is "partial 16S ribosomal RNA". It matches the Rfam family "Bacterial small subunit ribosomal RNA", at positions 28 to 507 of the family's 1533-position model. The record is from RNAcentral.